GCUCGUCGUGUGCGGGAAAUCCGCAGGCACGAUGGGAACAUCAAUUCUAAGUUUCUAGAAGAUAAU
RNAcentral lists this non-coding RNA (66 nucleotides) under Parcubacteria group bacterium GW2011_GWA2_53_21. The record is from RNAcentral.